AAUCACAUGCUCAAAUUAUGCAGUAACUGUGUUAGAUUAUCCUCUUAACAGUGAACAUCAUCUUAUUAUGGCGUAUUUGUUCUACAAUUAUGUUUGAUUCCUUGAUUAGGGUUCUUCGAAAAGGUGUCUGAAUAUUUGAAUCAGGGUCCCACAUUUUCUUCUUGAUAUCUCUAAGCACAUGUAACUUGUCAAUUGUUUAUCUUAAUAUUGCUCGCUAUGUUAUCCAGCUAUCUGGGCUGGAAUGCAUACAGUUCGCUACUUUGAUGCGAAAACGUAUGAGUGGGUUGGUAUAAGCCGGCAACCAAAUAUUAUGGGCAAGGUCAAACGAACGCUAAGUCAGUUUACACCAGCGCAGUGGGACAAAGAUGAGUGGCACCCCCUACUUGGUCCAUGGCGUUUCAUACAAGUGUUGACUUUAUGCAUUGUGUUCUUGACUGUCGAGCUCAACACUUUCUUUCUUAAGUUUUGUCUUUGGAUUCCUCCUCGAAACCCACUGAUUGUGUAUAGGUUGGUCUUGUGGUGGCUAAUUGCAAUACCAACAAUUCGCGAGUACAAUUCGUACCUACAGGAUCGAAUACCUGUGAAGAAGGUGGGCGCAUUUUGUUGGCUUUCUGUUGCUAUCUGCAUCAUUGAGCUCCUCAUCUGUAUCAAGUUUGGACAUGACUGACUAAUCAGGAGGACUAGUCUCACCUUCUACUAGCAGGGCUCAAUUAAAGUCAUCGCAAAGCCUGUAUGGACUGGCCCAAGACAAGGACUGAUAGCACGUGGCUGGGAGUCAAACCCCAGACCAAAAGCUUCCAGAGGCCCUGGUUGCCACAUGACUACCAUUGUGCCCACCCUUGGGGGUCCAAUUAAGAAUUAUUCCCCCAGCCAAUGCCUAUGUGGUUGGUGGUUUUCUAGACUUCCAUCGCUGCUGUCCUUUUGAUAUUUUUGAUUGCGUGGUCGUGGCAACUGCAUCGGACUCUGCAGAGAAAACAACAAUGAUUGUGUCAUUUUACGAGUAUCAUUCUUUCAUUCCUUUUUUGCUGUGUAAACCAACCACCCUUGUAAAUUAUCACCAUCUUGAGUUGUAAAUGCUUAUUACUUAGGUUAGUUGAGCGCAGAUUCUGAAUAGAAAUUACUCCAUUUAGGUUGUUGGAAAGGUUUUCUAAAUUUAGUCUCUCAGAAUAAUGAAUUUUUUUUCUUCCAUUGUCAAUUUGUAACUUGUUCAGAUAUUUUUGUUGACCAGAACCAUUGGUUUUGCAUCUUGAUUCUCUU
Molecule: RNA transcript, 1257 nt
Organism: Rhododendron vialii
Lineage: Eukaryota; Viridiplantae; Streptophyta; Magnoliopsida; Ericales; Ericaceae
Gene name: CDP-diacylglycerol--serine O-phosphatidyltransferase 1-like
Exons: 5
Source: RefSeq, a predicted model, not a curated record